This 299-nucleotide unclassified non-coding RNA is filed under the name Hevea brasiliensis (rubber tree). Lineage: Eukaryota; Viridiplantae; Streptophyta; Magnoliopsida; Malpighiales; Euphorbiaceae. The record is from RNAcentral.
UAUACAUUAUAAAGCUUCAGUGCAGAAGGAAUGCUAUGACAAGCCCAGAAAUCGCAACCAUGAUAGAGAAGAGGCUUUUACUGAUCCGAAUGGAAGUUGAAUCACUAGCCGUAUCGGGCGAGUCGCACUGAAGCCCAUUCUUACCUUCCUUGCACUCGUUCGCAAAGAGGCCUGGUGGGUACUUCCCGUAGAGAUUAAUGUAACUGAACAUGGUCGAGGAACAAUCGUUGCUCAAGUCGUUGAUCUGUUCGGCAUAAGGGCAAGCAAAUUCCUUAAAGGCCGCACAACAGAGGGAGGCG